RNAcentral lists this ribosomal RNA (1226 nucleotides) under Psychrobacter faecalis. RNAcentral describes it as "bacterial SSU rRNA". It matches the Rfam family "Bacterial small subunit ribosomal RNA", at positions 71 to 1294 of the family's 1533-position model. The record is from RNAcentral. Lineage: Bacteria; Pseudomonadati; Pseudomonadota; Gammaproteobacteria; Moraxellales; Moraxellaceae.
AGGAGAAGCUUGCUUCUCGCUGACGAGCGGCGGACGGGUGAGUAAUACUUAGGAAUCUACCUAGUAGUGGGGGAUAGCUCGGGGAAACUCGAAUUAAUACCGCAUACGACCUACGGGAGAAAGGGGGCAACUUGUUGCUCUCGCUAUUAGAUGAGCCUAAGUCGGAUUAGCUAGAUGGUGGGGUAAAGGCCUACCAUGGCGACGAUCUGUAGCUGGUCUGAGAGGAUGAUCAGCCACACCGGGACUGAGACACGGCCCGGACUCCUACGGGAGGCAGCAGUGGGGAAUAUUGGACAAUGGGGGCAACCCUGAUCCAGCCAUGCCGCGUGUGUGAAGAAGGCCUUUUGGUUGUAAAGCACUUUAAGCAGUGAAGAAGACUCCAUGGUUAAUACCCAUGGACGAUGACAUUAGCUGCAGAAUAAGCACCGGCUAACUCUGUGCCAGCAGCCGCGGUAAUACAGAGGGUGCAAGCGUUAAUCGGAAUUACUGGGCGUAAAGCGAGCGUAGGUGGCUUGAUAAGUCAGAUGUGAAAGCCCCGGGCUUAACCUGGGAACGGCAUCUGAUACUGUUAGGCUAGAGUAGGUGAGAGGAAGGUAGAAUUCCAGGUGUAGCGGUGAAAUGCGUAGAGAUCUGGAGGAAUACCGAUGGCGAAGGCAGCCUUCUGGCAUCAUACUGACACUGAGGUUCGAAAGCGUGGGUAGCAAACAGGAUUAGAUACCCUGGUAGUCCACGCCGUAAACGAUGUCUACUAGUCGUUGGGUCCCUUGAGGACUUAGUGACGCAGCUAACGCAAUAAGUAGACCGCCUGGGGAGUACGGCCGCAAGGUUAAAACUCAAAUGAAUUGACGGGGGCCCGCACAAGCGGUGGAGCAUGUGGUUUAAUUCGAUGCAACGCGAAGAACCUUACCUGGUCUUGACAUAUCUAGAAUCCUGCAGAGAUGCGGGAGUGCCUUCGGGAAUUAGAAUACAGGUGCUGCAUGGCUGUCGUCAGCUCGUGUCGUGAGAUGUUGGGUUAAGUCCCGCAACGAGCGCAACCCUUGUCCUUAGUUACCAGCGGUUUGGCCGGGAACUCUAAGGAUACUGCCAGUGACAAACUGGAGGAAGGCGGGGACGACGUCAAGUCAUCAUGGCCCUUACGACCAGGGCUACACACGUGCUACAAUGGUAGGUACAGAGGGCAGCUACACAGCGAUGUGAUGCGAAUCUCAAAAAGCCUAUCGUAGUCC